UUUGCUAUUGACAUUACCGAUCACUGUGAAAUCCAUCUUUUGUCCACUCACCAAAUUUCUAUACUUGUUCCUUUCCCGUCAGAUCUAAAACCAUUUCCCCACCUCCGCUUCUUCCUUUUCCCCUUUAAAUUGUGCCAUUUCUUCCCCUUCAGCUUCUCCGCACCCCUCCCUCCUCAGAUCCACGCCCCAACGAUUCUUCCUCUCUGUGCCGCUCCCACCCUAUUCCCCUUUCUUUUUCUCACCUAUUCCCUCAUGCAACUCACCCCACCAAGAUCUAAGAGCCACGUCCUCCGUGUCGGCGGGUCGAUCUGCUGGCAGCCAUAUUUCGAUUUCAUGUAAUGACUUAUGUUACAACAUAUAAUUUUAUUACCAUUCCUUUCUCCUUCAACAAUUCACCCCUUCGUUGUCGUGGAUUUUAUGCUAGUUUUUAA
This 431-nucleotide long non-coding RNA is filed under the name Glycine max (soybean). Its description in RNAcentral is "long non-coding RNA (GMAX_LNC004630)". Lineage: Eukaryota; Viridiplantae; Streptophyta; Magnoliopsida; Fabales; Fabaceae. The record is from RNAcentral.